Molecule: long non-coding RNA, 545 nt
Organism: Sapajus apella (tufted capuchin)
Lineage: Eukaryota; Metazoa; Chordata; Mammalia; Primates; Cebidae
Exons: 3
Source: RefSeq, a predicted model, not a curated record
GUGGCCGUAGAAUUCUAUCUGGUGGAGUGGCAAUGCCUGGACACUGCACAGCAGAAUUUAUAUAGAAAUGUGAUGUUAGAGAACUACAGAAACCUGGUCUUCCUGGGUAUUGCUGCCUCUAAGCCAGACCUGAUCACCUGUCUGGAGCAAGGAAAAGAACCUUGGAAUGUGAAGAGACAUGAGAUGGUAGCCAAAGCCCCAGGUUGGAGCCAUGAUUCCUGUUUUUCUCAUAAAGGCAUUUUUGUUAGGGAUGGAUGACAAAUUUUCUUGCUGUCAGAAAAUAGGCAAAUAGGACACCUUUUAUUUUUCCACCUUAGUGAUGUCACUCUCCCUGUACAUUUUUACUUUCUAUUUUGAUUUAGUCUGUAAUUUCAGAUGUAGACAUUUAGGACAAUAUACUAGAAUUUACAUUUUAUGCCUGAAGUGAAUUGAAUAAUUAGUAGGCAGGCAAAAAGGAAAUAUAGGCAGAUAAAAAAGGUUAUAGGAUUUUCACUCACUUUUGUCUGCCUAUAUCUAAAAUGUAACAAAUUAUUUCCAAAUUGUUU